This 845-nucleotide unclassified non-coding RNA is filed under the name Hevea brasiliensis (rubber tree). Lineage: Eukaryota; Viridiplantae; Streptophyta; Magnoliopsida; Malpighiales; Euphorbiaceae. The record is from RNAcentral.
GAUGCAGCAUGAUCCAAGUGAAAGCUACAAGAAAAAAGCAUCACUAUAGCUAUUAAGUGGCAAAGAUGGAGACAGGGAUGAGGGAGGAAAGAGAGAGAGAGAGGUGAAAGAAUUUUGAUUCAGAAAGCAAAGGCAGAGAGUGGAACUGGAAACCACAAAUUGAACUAAAAGAAGGGCAAUAUUAAAUUAUUUUUUCUUUAUGGAAAUCUUAAGUACUAUCAGGCCCUUAAAACUUCAAUAAAACUUUCAGAAAGAAUUAUCAUCCAUUAUGAAUCACCUAAAAAGAGAAACGAACAAUUAAAAGAGCAAAACUUCCAUAAACUUUACAUCUCACCCUAUUUUUGUAGCUGUCCACUAUUAACCACCCUUCUAACGUCACGUGCCUAGCUCCAUGCUAAGGCAACAAAACCACUGAGCAAGCAUACAACACUCAUAUUUUUUUUUCUAAUUCUGACACCCCUGUACAUCUUUCCUUUUACAUAUUCUCAUGCAUCUAAGUAUCUAAUGCAAUUGUUACAUCAACAUCACAUUAUAUCCUGAAAACAAUCAUUCAUGUAAAAAAUAAAAGUGCCAUCACCUACAGAAAAGAAAAGGCAUAGUGCAAUACUAAGUUUCAUUCAACAAAGUCACUACAAGAUAGAUGAUACCCCCUUCGCAAAUGAUUAGUUUAUGCUAGCCAAAUUAUUGACACUAGCAUGCACCCUAAUAAGAAAUAGAAAUCAGUUAUGUGAACUUAAAAUAUAGUCUUCUGGUGCAGCAAAUGAAAACUCACACAUAACAAGCAACUAAAUUAAGCAAAUAUAUGAGAAAGAAAUACAUACUGGGUGAUGAGAAGUACAUCAAUA